UCUUUUUCUUUUUUUUCUUUCCUUUUUUCUCUUUUUUUCUCUAUCUUUUUUUUUCUGACUUUUUUCUCUCUCUUUUUUUUUCUCCCUCUUUCCAAGACAAACUAGAUAAGAUGCAGAUUGGAUCAGGCGAAGAUGUGAAUGACCUCAACUAUGAUUAUGACAAUGAACAGUGCGUAGCACGUGGUGGAAAUUAAUAGAUGGGAUGGUGGACGGCGGAAGGGAUAAUGAUGCAGCGGCGGCGUGACUAAUGUGAACAGAACUCGAAACUCUAAAGGAACUAGACACUAAGACCAGCAACUGACACGACGAUGCAACCGAUAAUUCAACUAUGCAAGCAAUGAAUAGAAAUUUGCAAAGGCUCAGACUGGCUUGGAUAAAGGAUGAACAGAUCUAACUUUUUUUGUGGCUUUUUCAUGGACUAUAGGUAUGAAUGACAGAUGCGAUCUAAACUAUGAAAAACUGUAAAAUCUCACCGAGCAACCUGAAAACUGAUACCACUUGAUAGAGGCGAGGGUCCCGAUCUUUCGAUGAGAUGAUAACUAUCGAUUUGGUGGAGACGACUUUGACGAUCCGACUACAAACGUGCACGACGUUGCGCCUUAGCAAUCGCUAAACCAAUCUCCUGAGGUUACUGACGAUGCUGGAAGCACGGUCAACCUGACCACGAAGGUCUAUUCCUGCAAGCAAUCGAAGAACGAGCAAGAAUAUGAUAAAGCAAUCUGAAUAUUGCAAAUAUAUAUGAAGUAUUGAUAAUGGUGGGGAUCCGGAAGCGGUCUUGGUCUGGUCGUUGGACACAAACGAAGUACACGAAGUUGCAAUGGCUAACUUUUAACUAAACAAAUCCCAAGGAAAAGCUACUAGAUGGAUCUACUUAUAUAGGAGCAAGGGGUGGCGGCCAAGGAGGUGGGAGGACGUCCCAAGGCAGCCUAAAACUAAAUCUAGGUCGUACAAGGCCAAUGGGCCCAAGUGGAGGUGAUGUAACACCUUUGGACUUGUAGUUUGACUCGGAUUCUGCUGCAGCAUCAGAUUGUUUCAUCCACAACUCAACGCUCCUGACGAAUUUGAUGGUGAUUCCAAUUGGGUUGGAAAGUGCACGAAAUCUAGUUUCCAACAAAAAAAGAAUCACCCAAUUCGGAGUCCGUAUGAAAAACUUGUGUGUGUUUUGAGUCAGGUGUGUCUGUGCAGUCCGAAUCUGAAUCCAGAACGUGAGAGACUUGGACUCUAUCUUCUCUUGGGCCAAAAGUGACGUGAGAGAACUUUUUGGACAGCAAAUAAAUAUCUCUUUCUUCCUUAUCUUCAUAUGUGGAUUGUACAAAUGUCCCAUACACCUGCAAUUAGACAAAACACAAAAGUGUGUGAAGUAUUUUUGUUUUGGAUAACAUAAAUAGAUUAUUGAAUAGUUUGCACUAGAAAUCACCUGACAAAUAUGCAUAUAUGCAAUAUUUUUGGUCAUAUCCAAGGUAGUCAUGUCCUCAUCAAUGAAGCCUUGGACGAAAUAUACAAGAUGCCACUUCAUAAAUUUCGUCCCGAGGCUAUUUUAGGUGCUGCGUCACCUUAUUAUUGGGCCAGGCCCAUGUAAUUUCGAAAUACAUAAGUAUAGGCUAUUUUUAGAGUCCGUAUGUGUGGGGAAACAAGAGAUAGGGUUGAUUUCGGACCCCUCCACCAAGGGCCACGAAAUUCCCCCCCUCUUCCUCCAUAUAUACAGCCCUUAGGGCAUCGUUUAGACUUUGGGUUUUGUUUAGAUUAAAAGUUCGCCAUAGCUGCAACUUCGCACACUUCGUUUGUGUUCAACGACCAGACAAAGGCGUCACAGAACCCCACCUUGAUCAAUAAAGCUUUCAUCUUAUAUUGGCAAUAUCCAGAUUGCAAUCUUAGUUUCUUGCUUGUUCUUCGUUUGCUCGCAGGAAACAGACCCUCGUGGUCAGGUUGAUCGUGCUCCGGCGUGGUCAAUAACCUCUCGGAGUUGGUUUAGCGAUUGCUAAGGCGCGACGUCCUUGCACGUUCGUAGUCGGAUCGUCAAAGUCGACUUCCACCAAAGCGAAAUCCACCAUCUCAUCGAAAGACGGGACACCUUUGCCUCUAUCAAUUGGAUGUAGUAAGGAUGUGGAUGUGGUCUUGUGGUGAGAGAAAGCUUCUCGACCAUCUCCAUGCUAGCCAAGUUGUUGCAGCUCCCUCCGUCUAUGAUGACGCGCACAGAACGUUCCUUCACAACUCCCUUGGUAUGGAACAAAUUGUGCCUCUGAUUUUGCUCAGCUUGUGUGAUCUGCACACUCAAAACACGUUGAGCAACUAAACAUUCAUACCUGUCAGCGUCUUCAGGAGCCAUGUAUUGCAUCUCAUGAUCAGAAUCAUCUCCACCAUGUUCUUCACGUGUAAUAAGAGCCAAAGUCUCCUCAUCAUAGUCACUAGCGGACUCAUAUCCACCAUCCGCGGUAGCAAUCAUCACACGCGGAGAUUUGCAUUCUCUCGCAUAAUGACCUCCUCCCUUACAACGACGACAAAUAAUAUCACUUGUGUGCCCUGUUGAUGCCAUGGAAGAAGAAGAACGCUGUGCAGGCCCCGCAGGUGCGCUCUUGGCAGAUAAUGGUGGUUGUGCCUGUUUUCUUGUAUCACGGCUGGAGGUGGCACCGGAUGGAGGUGCUGGUGCAGUUGAAGUAGAAGAUGCACGUGGUGUCCAUGAUGAAGGUCGGCCUGCAGAAAAGGUAGUUCGCCCCAAUGCUUGUCGAUCCUGCACUUCACGUUCAGCUUUACAAGCAAGAUGGAAUAAACGAGUGAUAUUAGUAUACUCCUUAUAGUCUAGAAUGGUCUGAAUCUCUCUAUUUAAUCCACCCAGAAAACGUGCAAGCAUAGCUUCAUUCUCCUCAACAAUACCACAUCUAAUCAUGCCAGUUUGUAAUUCCUGAUAAUAUUCUUCUACAGAAUUUUUUCCUUGUCUUAAACGCUGCAAUUUUUGAAGCAAUUCACGUUGAUAAUAUGGUGGAACCCAACGCGUACGCAUAGCAGUUUUCAAAGCAGCCCAAGUAGUUGGAAUAUGAUAUAAUCUACAAUGUUCAGACCACCAUACACAUGCAAAACUAGUGAAAGCACAAACAGCAGCAGCAACUCGUCUCUCCUCAGGAUAUUGUAAACAUGUAAAUCGUUGUUUAGUUUCUAACUCCCAAGUAAGAUAUAUAUCAGGAACAUAUCUACCCUCAAAUGGUGGAAUAUUCAAUUUCAGUUUAGGAAUAUGGACAUCAUCUCGUACCUGAGGUGGUGGUGCAGGCCUACCAUUACGAAUAUAUACCUGAGGUCGACCUGCUGGUGGUGGUACAGGUGGCUGCACGUGAUGAGGACAUCAAUACAAUUGUUACACCCACAGCCCCUGCUGCUAUACAUACUGGACCAAUUACUAGAGCUCGUGCACGCCAACUAAAUUACCAGGUACUUUCGUUUCUUGGUAAUGAUUCUAAUGUUCAUGAGAAUAUGAUGCUGCCUAAAUUGGAUACAUUUGUUUUGCUUACAAAUGAAGGGCCUAGCUUGGAGAAGGAUGAACAUUGGAGCAAGAACAAGCAUGGAGAUGAUGGCAUGCGCAAGGGAAACAAGAACGGAGUUACAAGUGAUGAUUUCAGGACUUUGAAGCCACCAUAAUGGGUGCAUGAAGCCAUGGACGAAAUAUACAAGAUGCCACUUCAUAAAUUUCGUCCCGAGGCUAUUAUAGGUGCUGCGUCACCUUUUUAUUGGGCCAGGCCCAUGUAAUUUCGAAAUACAUAAGUAUAGGCUAUUUUUAGAGUCCGUAUGUGUGGGGAAACAAGAGAUAGGGUUGAUUUCGGACCCCUCCACCAAGGGCCACGAAAUUCCCCCCCCCCCUCUUCCUCCAUAUAUACAGCCCUUAGGGCAUCGUUUAGACUUUGGGGUUUUGGUUUAGAUUAAAAGUUCGCCAUAGCUGCAACUUCGCGUACUUCGUUUGUGUUCAACGACCAGACAAAGGCGUCACAGAACCCCACCUUCAUCAAUAAAGCUUUCAUCUUAUAUUCGCAAUAUCCAGAUUGCAAUCUUAGUUUCUUGCUUGUUCUUCGUUUGCUCGCAGGAAACAGACCCUCGUGGUCAGGUUGAUCGUGCUCCGGCGUGGUCAAUAACCUCUCGGAGUUGGUUUAGCGAUUGCUAAGGCGCGACGUCCUCGCACGUUCGUAGUCGGAUCGUCAAAGUCGACUUCCACCAAAGCGAUAUCCAUCAUCUCAUCGAAAGACGGGACACCUUUGCCUCUAUCAAGUGGUAUCAGAUUUCCAGGUUGCUCGGUGAGAUUUUACAGUUUUUCGUAGUUUAGAUCGAGUCUGUUCUUCAUACCUAUAGUCCACGAAAAAGCCACAAAAAAAAAUUAGGGUUAGUUCAUCAUAUCCGAACCAAUCUGAGCCUUGCAUAAUCUUUUUAGGGUUUUGCUUUGUUGAAUUUGCGGUUGCAUCGUCGUGUCUAGUUGCUGGUCUUAGAGUCUAGUGUUUUAGAGUUUCGAGUUCUGGUCAUAAGUUGUCACGCCGCCGCCGCACCAUCAUCAUCCCCCCUGCCAUCUACCACCACCGCACCGAAUCCGUAUCCAUAUACCACCACCAAUCCGUGUCCAUAUACCACCACCGAUCCAUAUCCAUAUACUACCACCGCUACCACCAUCGCUGCCAUAUACCACCACCAUAUAUCCACCACCAAUCCGAGUUCCUUGCUUAUUAGGGUUGUUUUCGAGAUCCAUCUAGAUUCCGAUUCGUGUUUCCUUGCCGGAGUAGGUGUCGGAAAAAAAAAAGAGUCGGGUAGCCACGCUCCGUUUAGGCCCAAAAUUUUUCGAAAACGCAUUUUUUGAAAAAUUUUCUGGCUAUCCUAUUUUUAGGUGUUUCUGAGUGUUUUGAGACAGGUGCCAUUAUAGGAAGUUUUUUUGACCCGUUUCCAGUUUUUGGGUCCGGGCAGUCGAAAAAAAAAAUUUGGUCGAAAAAUUUCGUGCCCAUCCUGUCAGUUUGAGCUAGGAAGAGUUUUGAGACACUCGCCAUUAUAGUGAUUUUUCGCAAAAAAAAAAAGCAGCGCAAAAAAAAAAGAGCGCAAAAAAAAAGAGCGAAUUUUUUUUUUCAGAGUGUGCUUUUCCCUUGUUUACGUGCCGCGCCGUGAUUUUGUUGGUGUUCUAGGCUCGCGUCUCUAGCACAGUCUAGCCUAGGACCAUCACAGUACCGUCGUUGAGCGUUUAUUCAACUUUGCAUCUCUGAAUUGAUUAUUGCUGACCCUUUUUGCUACCAUAUUAUAAGCCUUCCCAGCUCCACAUACAUCUACGUCGUGCGUUUGACUCUCCCUGGUAAUCGCUCUAUCCAAGCUUUGAGAGUUUUGACUACAACGGUUGCCGAUCACCGCCUGUUGCUGGGUAAGAACUGGUAAGAAUUUGAGUUUUGCUUGACGGAUUUGUGACACCCACCACCACCACUUGUUCGUAGUCUGUAGGAUCAUAUUCUUGUGUAUUUCUAUUGCUGCUAACCAUGCCAGGAUCACAAGCCGACGAGAUUGACUGGGAGAAUUUAUCGAACAAGGAGCUUCAUGAUAAGUUUCAGCAAAUGAUGACUGAACAGGUGCAAGAUGUGCUGAACAAUUUUGAAGAGGCCAUGGAGAAGAUCACUGGCCUUGAGAAGACGUUCGAAACAAAGCUCGAUAACAGAUUUAAUGAAUUGCUCGCGCGUCUUCCACCACCACCACCCGCUGCACCUAACGCACCUCUCCAACAACAACAACAACGACUGCCUCCACGUCGCGAAAUAGACCUUCGCCGAGCGAGCCAUGUUCCUCUUGCGUUUGGCCAAACUGUUGGUGCUGCUGUUGAUACUUCUGUGGCUCCUGCUACUGCUGUUGCUGGUACCCAGGAGGAUGAUGAGUAUGCGGGCGAUUAUGAGGAUGAGGUUGAUCAAAAUCAGAUCUACGAGCAGCCACCAGCACCACCACCAGCAGGUCGACCUCAGGUAUAUAUUCGUAAUGGUAGGCCUGCACCACCACCUCAGGUACGAGAUGAUGUCCAUAUUCCUAAACUGAAAUUGAAUAUUCCACCAUUUGAGGGUAGAUAUGUUCCUGGUAUAUAUCUUACUUGGGAGUUAGAAACUGAACAACGAUUUACAUGUUUACAAUAUCCUGAGGAGAGACGAGUUGCUGCUGCUGUUUGUGCUUUCACUAGUUUUGCAUGUGUAUGGUGGUCUGAACAUUGUAGAUUAUAUCCUAUUCCAACUACUUGGGCUGCUUUGAAAACUGCUAUGCGUACGCGUUGGGUUCCACCAUAUUAUCAACGUGAAUUGCUUCAAAAAUUGCAGCGUUUAAGACAAGGAAAAAAUUCUGUAGAAGAAUAUUAUCAGGAAUUACAAACUGGCAUGAUUAGAUGUGGUAUUGUUGAGGAGAAUGAAGCUAUGCUUGCACGUUUUCUGGGUGGAUUAAAUAGAGAGAUUCAGACCAUUCUAGACUAUAAGGAGUAUACUAAUAUCACUCGUUUAUUCCAUCUUGCUUGUAAAGCUGAACGUGAAGUGCAGGAUCGACAAGCAUUGGGGCGAACUAACUUUUCUGCAGGCCGACCUUCAUCAUGGACACCACGUGCAUCUUCUACUUCAACUGCACCAGCACCUCCAUCAGGUGCCACCUCCAGCCGUGAUACAAGAAAACAAGCAGAACCACCAUUAUCUGCCAAGAGCGCACCUGCGGGGCCUACACAGCGUUCUUCUUCUUCCAUAGCAUCAACAGGGCACACAAGUGAUAUUAUUUGUCGUCGUUGUAAGGGAGGAGGUCAUUAUGCGAGAGAAUGCAAAUCUCCGCGUGUGAUGAUUGCUACCGCGGAUGGUGGAUAUGAGUCCGCUAGUGACUAUGAUGAGGAGACUUUGGCUCUUAUUACACGUGAAGAACAUGGUGGAGAUGAUUCUGAUAAUGAGACGCAAUACAUGGCUCCUGAAGACGCUGACAGGUAUGAAUGUUUAAUUGCUCAACGUGUUUUGAGUGUGCAGAUCACACAAGCUGAGCAAAAUCAGAGGCACAAUUUGUUCCAUACCAAGGGAGUUGUGAAGGAACGUUCUGUGCGCGUCAUCAUAGACGGAGGGAGCUGCAACAAUUUGGCUAGCAUGAAGAUGGUCGAGAAGCUUUCUCUCACCACAAGACCACAUCCACAUCCUUACUACAUCCAAUGGUUCAAUAACAGCGGCAAGGUUAAGGUAACACGUACUGUUCGUGUGCAUUUUAGUAUAUCUACAUAUGCUGAUUAUGUUGAUUGUGAUGUGGUACCUAUGCAAGCAUGUUCCUUAUUACUUGGUAGACCAUGGCAAUUUGAUAAAAAUUCUGUACACCAUGGUAGAAACAAUCACUAACCUCUCGGAGUUGGUUUAGCGAUUGCUAAGGCGCAACGUCGUGCACGUUUGUAGUCGGAUCGUCAAAGUCGUCUCCACCAAAUCGAUAGUUAUCAUCUCAUCGAAAGAUCGGGACACCCUCGCCUCUAUCACAAAGUCUAAACGAUGCCCUAAGGGCUGUAUAUAUGGAGGAAGAGGGGGGAAUUUCGUGGCCCUUGGUGGAGGGGUCCGAAAUCAACCCUAUCUCUUGUUUCCCCACACAUACGGACUCUAAAAAUAGCCUAUACUUAUGUAUUUCGAAAUUACAUGGGCCUGGCCCAAUAAUAAGGUGACGCAGCACCUAAAAUAGCCUCGGGACGAAAUUUAUGAAGUGGCAUCUUGUAUAUUUCGUCCAAGGCUUCAUGCACCCAUUAUGGUGGCUUCAAAGUCCUGAAAUCAUCACUUGUAACUCCGUUCUUGUUCCCCUUGCGCAUGCCAUCAUCUCCAUGCUUGUUCUUGCUCCAAUGUUCAUCCUUCUCCAAGCUAGGCCCUUCAUUUGUAAGCAAAACAAAUGUAUCCAAUUUAGGCAGCAUCCUAUUCUCAUGAACAUUAGAAUCAUUACCAAGAAACGAAAGUACCUGGUAAUUUAGUUGGCGUGCACGAGCUCUAGUAAUUGGUCCAGUAUGUAUAGCAGCAGGGGCUGUGGGUGUAACAAUUGUAUUGAUGUCCUCAUCAGAAUUGAAGUUGAUAAAGCCAAGAUUGAAGCUAUUGAGAGUUGGCCGCAGCCCAAAACGGUCACACAAGUGAGGAGUUUGCUUGGCCUUGCUGGAUUCUAUAGGCGUUUUGUGAGAGAUUUCAGCACCAUUGCUGCACCUCUCAAUGAGCUUACAAAGAAAGAUGUGCCUUUUCUUUGGGGUACCGCACAGGAAGAAGCCUUCACGGUAUUGAAAGAUAAGUUGACACAUGCUCCUUUACUCCAACUUCCUGAUUUUAAUAAGACUUUUGAGUUUGAAUGUGAUGCUAGUGGAAUUGGAUUAGGAGGUGUGUUAUUACAAGAUGGCAAACCUGUUGCAUACUUUUCUGAAAAAUUGAGUGGGCCUAGUCUGAAUUAUUCUACUUAUGAUAAAGAAUUAUAUGCUCUUGUUCGGACUUUAGAAACAUGGCAACAUUAUUUAUGGCCCAAAGAAUUUGUUAUAUGAUAGAGGCAAAGGUGUCCCGUCUUUGGAUGAGAUGAUGGAUAUCGCUUUGGUGGAAGUCGACUUUGACGAUCCGACUACGAACGUGCGAGGACGUCGCGCCUUAGCAAUCGCUAAACCAACUCCGAGAGGUUAUUGACCACACCGGAGCACGAUCAACCUGACCACGAGGGUCUGUUUCCUGCGAGCAAACGAAGAACAAGCAAGAAGCUGAGAUUGCAAUCUGGAUAUUGCGAAUAUAAGAUGAAAGCUUUAUUGAUCAAGGUGGGGUUCUGUGACGCCUUUGUCUGGUCGUUGAACACAAACGAAGUACGCGAAGUUGCAGCUAUGGCGAACUUUUAAUCUAAACAAAACCCAAAGUCUAAAUGAUGCCCUAAGGGCUGUAUAUAUGGAGGAAGAGGGGGGGUAUUUCGUGGCCCUUGGUGGAGGGGUCCGAAAUCAACCCUAUCUCUUGUUUCCCCACACAUACGGACUCUAAAAAUAGCCUAUACUUAUGUAUUUCGAAAUUACAUGGGCCUGGCCCAAUAAUAAGGUGACGCAGCACCUAAAAUAGCCUCGGGACGAAAUUUAUGAAGUGGCAUCUUGUAUAUUUCGUCCAAGGCUUCAUGCACCCAUUAUGGUGGCUUCAAAGUCCUGAAAUCAUCACUUGUAACUCCGUUCUUGUUCCCCUUGCGCAUGCCAUCAUCUCCAUGCUUGUUCUUGCUCCAAUGUUCAUCCUUCUCCAAGCUAGGUCCUUCAUUUGUAAGCAAAACAAAUGUAUCCAAUUUAGGCAGCAUCAUAUUCUCAUGAACAUUAGAAUCAUUACCAAGAAACGAAAGUACGUGGUAAUUUAGUUGGCGUGCGCGAGCUCUAGUAAUUGGUCCAGUAUGUAUAGCAGCAGGGCCUGUGGGUGUAACAAUGGUAUUGAUGUCCUCAUCAUCCUCCCCUUUUUGAAAUGAAGUCGUCCUCGACGGAAACUCAUCUUCCUCACCCAAAUAAGGCUUCAAAUCUGCAAUGUUAAAAGUGGGACUAACCCCAAAAUCUGCAGGCAACUCAAGUUUAUAUGCAUUAUCAUUUAUUUUCUCUAACACCUUAAAGGGACCAUCAGCACGUGGCAUUAGCUUUGAUUUGCGCAAAUCAGGAAAUCUAUCCUUACGCAAAUGUAACCAAACAAGAUCUCCAGGUGCAAACACAACAUGUUUUCGGAUGAGGACAUCAAUACAAUUGUUACACCCACAGCCCCUGCUGCUAUACAUACUGGACCAAUUACUAGAGCUCGUGCACACCAACUAAAUUACCAGGUACUUUCGUUUCUUGGUAAUGAUUCUAAUGUUCAUGAGAAUAUGAUGCUGCCUAAAUUGGAUACAUUUGUUUUGCUUACAAAUGAAGGGCCUAGCUUGGAGAAGGAUGAACAUUGGAGCAAGAACAAGCAUGGAGAUGAUGGCAUGCGCAAGGGGAACAAGAAUGGAGUUACAAGUGAUGAUUUCAGGACUUUGAAGCCACCAUAAUGGGUGCAUGAAGCCUUGGACGAAACAUACAAGAUGCCACUUCAUAAAUUUCGUCCCGAGGCUAUUUUAGGUGCUGCAUCACCUUAUUAUUGGGCCAGGCCCAUGUAAUUUCUUAAUACAUAAGUAUAGGCUAUUUUUAGAGUCCGUAUGUGUGGGGAAACAAGAGAUAGGGUUGAUUUCGGACCCCUCCACCAAGGGCCACGAAAUUCCCCCUCUUCCUCCAUAUAUACAGCCCUUAGGGCAUCGUUUAGACUUUGGGUUUUGUUUAGAUUAAAAGUUCGCCAUAGCUGCAACUUCGCGUACUUCGUUUGUGUUUAACGACCAGACAAAGGCGUCACAGAACCCCACCUUGAUCAAUAAAGCUUUCAUCUUAUAUUCACAAUAUCCAGAUUGCAAUCUUAGUUUCUUGCUUGUUCUUCGUUUGCUCGCAGGAAACAGACCCUCGUGGUCAGGUUGAUCGUGCUCCGGCGUGGUCAAUAACCUCUCGGAGUUGGUUUAGCGAUUGCUAAGGCGCGACGUCCUCGCACGUUCGUAGUCGGAUUGUCAAAGUCGACUUCCACCAAAGCGAUAUCCAUCAUCAAAUCGAAAGACGGGACACCUUUGCCUCUAUCAAGUGGUAUCAGAUUUCCAGGUUGCUCGGUGAGAUUUUACAGUUUUUGUAGUUUAGAUCGAGUCUGUUCUUCAUACCUAUAGUCCACGAAAAAGCCACAAAAAAAUUAGGGUUAGUUCAUCAUAUCCGAACCAAUCUGAGCCUUUGCAUAAUCUUUUUAGGGUUUUGCUUUGUUGAAUUUGCGGUUGCAUCGUCGUGUCUAGUUGCUGGUCUUAGAGUCUAGUCUUUUAGAGUUUCGAGUUCUGGUCAUAAGUUGUCACGCCGCCGCCGCACCAUCAUCAUCACCCCUGCCAUCUACCACCACCGCUUAUCCGCCAACGCUACGAAUCCGUAUCCAUAUACCACCACCGCUGCCAUCUACCACCAUAUAUCCACCCCCAAUCCGAGUUCUUGUCAUAUUAGGUUUGUUUUCCAGAUCCAUCUAGAUUCCGUUUCGUGUUUCCUUGCCGGAGUAGGUUUCGGAAAAAAAAAAGAGUCCGGAAACCACGCUCCGUUUAGGCCCAAAAUUUUUCGAAAACACAUUUUUCGAAAAAAAUUCUGGCUAUCCUAUUUUUAGGUGUUUCUGAGUGUUUUGAGACAGGUGCCAUUAUAGGAAGUUUUUUUGACCCAUUUCCAGUUUUUGGGUCCGGGCAGUCAAAAAAAAAAUUGGUCGAAAAAAUUCCGUGCCCAUCCUGUCAGUUGGAGCUAGGAAGAGUUUUGAGACACUCGCCAUUAUAAUGAUUUUUCGCAAAAAAAAGAGCGAAUAUUUUUUUCCAGAGUGUGCUUUUCCCUUGUUUACGUGCCGCGCCGUGAUUUUGUUGGUGUUCUAGGCUCGCGUCUCUAGCACAGUCUAGCCUAGGACCAGCACAGUACCGUCGUUGAGCGUUUAUUCAACUUUGCAUCUCUGAAUUGAUUAUUGCUGACCCUUUUUGCUACCAUAUUAUAAGCCUUCCCAGCUCCACAUACAUCUACGUCGUGCGUUUGACUCUCCCUGGUAAUCGCUCUAUCCAAGCUUUGAGAGUUUUUGACUACAACGGUUGCCGAUCACCGCCUGCUGCUGGGUAAGAACUGGUAAGAAUUUGAGAUUUGCUUGACAGAUUUGUGACACCCACCACCACCUCUUGUUAGUAGUCUGUAGGAUCAUAUUCUUGUGUGUUUCUAUUGCUGCUAACCAUGCCAGGAUCACAAGCCGACGAGACUGACUGGGAGAACAUGACGAAUAAGGAUUUGCAUGAUAAAUUUCAGCAAAUGAUGAGUGAACAGGUGCAAGACGUGCUAAACAGAUUUGAAGAGGCCAUGGAGAAGAUAGAUGGCAUGGAGAAGACGUUCGAAACAAAGCUCGAUAACAAGUUUAAUGAAUUGCUCGCGCGUCUUCCACCACCACCACCCGCUGCACCUAUCGCACCUCUCCAACAACAACAACAACGACUACCUCCACGUCGCGAAAUAGACCUCCGCCGAGCAAGCCGUGUUCCUCUUGCGUUUGGCCAAACUGUUGGUGCUGCUAUUGAUACUUCUGUGGCUUCUGCUGCUGAUGCGGAGGAGGAUGAUUAUGUGGGAGAUUACGAGGAUGAGGUUGCUCAAAAUCAGAACUACGUGCAACCACCAGCACCACCACCAGCAGGUCGACCUCAGGUAUAUAUUCGUAAUGGUAGGCCUGCACCACCACCUCAGGUACGAGAUGAUGUCCAUAUUCCUAAACUGAAAUUGAAUAUUCCACCAUUUGAGGGUAGAUAUGUUCCUGAUAUAUAUCUUACUUGGGAGUUAGAAACUGAACAACGUUUUACAUGUUUACAAUAUCCCGAGGAGAGACGGGUUGCUGCUGCUGUUUGUGCUUUCACUAGUUUUGCAUGUGUCUGGUGGUCUGAACAUUGUAGAUUAUAUCCUAUUCCAACUACUUGGGCUGCUUUGAAAACUGCUAUGCGUACGCGUUGGGUUCCACCAUAUUAUCAACGUGAAUUGCUUCAAAAAUUGCAGCGUUUAAGACAAGGAAAAAUUUUUGUAGAAGAAUAUUAUCAGGAAUUACAAACUGGCAUGAUUCGAUGUGGUAUUGUUGAGGAGAAUGAAGCUAUGCUUGCACGUUUUCUGGGUGGAUUAAAUAGAGAGAUUCAGACCAUUCUAGACUAUAAGGAGUAUACUAAUAUCACUCGUUUAUUCCAUCUUGCUUGUAAAGCUGAACGUGAAGUGCAGGAUCGACAAGCAUUGGCGCGAACUAACUUUUCUGCAGGCCGACCUUCAUCAUGGACACCGCGUGCAUCUUCUACUUCAACUGCACCAGCACCUCAAUCAGGUGCCUCCUACAGCCGUGAUACAAGAAAACAGGAACAACCACCAUUAUCUGCCAAGAGCGCACCUGCCGGGCCUGCAUAGAGUUCUUCUUCUUCCAGGGCAUCAACAGGGCACACAAGUGAUAUUAUUUGUCGUCGUUGUAAGGGAGGAGGUCAUUAUGCGAGAGAAUAAAAAUCUCCGCAUGUGAUGAUUGCUACCGAGGGUGGUGGAUAUGAGUCCGCUAGUGACUAUGAUGAGGAGACAUUGGCUCUUAUUACACGUGAAGAACAUGGUGGAGAUGAUUCUGAUCAUGAGACGCAAUACAUGGCUCCUGAAGACGCUGACAGGUAUGAAUGUUUAGUUGCUCAACGUGUUUUGAGUGUGCAGGUCACACAAGCUGAGCAAAAUCAGAGGCACAAUUUGUUCCAUACCAAGGGAGUUGUGAAGGAACGUUCUAUGCGCUUCAUCAUAGACGGAGGGAGCUGCAACAACUUGGCUAGCAUGGAGAUGGUGGAGAAGCUUUCUCUCACCACAAGACCACAUCCACAUCCUUACUACAUCCAAUGGUUCAACAACAACGGCAAGGUUAAGGUAACACGUACUGUUCGUGUGCAUUUUAGUAUCUCUACAUAUGCUGAUUAUGUUGAUUGUGAUGUGGUACCUAUGCAAGCACGUUCCUUAUUACUUGGUAGACCAUGGCGAUUUGAUAAAAAUUCUGUACACCAUGGUAGAAACAAUCACUAUACUCUUGUUCAUAAGGAUAAAAAUAUUACUUUGCUUCCUAUGACUCCUGAUUCCAUUUUGAAAGAUGAUAUUAAUAGAGCUAAUAAAGCAAAACAGGAGAAGAAUAAGAGUGAAAAUCAGAUUGUGGCAAAAGAAUUUGAGCAACAAAUGAAGCCUAAUAAUAAACCAUCUAGUGUUGCUUCUGAAAUUAAAUUGAAAAGUGCAUGUUUAUUUGCCACCAAAUCUGAUAUUGAUGAGCUAGAUUUCAGCAAAUCUGUUUGCUAUGCUUUUGUGUGCAAAGAGGCAUUAUUUUCAUUCGAGGACGUGCCUUCCUCUUUGCCUCCUGCUGUCACUAACAUUUUGCAGGAGUUCGCUGACGUUUUUCCACAAGACGUGCCACCGGGAUUACCGCCUAUUCGAGGGAUUGAGCAUCAGAUUGACUUAAUUCCCGGUGCUUCACUGCCAAACCAUGCACCAUACCGUACCAAUCCAGAGGAGACGAAGGAGAUUAUGCAUCAAGUACAAGAGCUUCUCGACAAAGGUUAUAUACGUGAAUCCCUUAGUCCUUGUGCUGUUCCUAUUAUUCUAGUGCCGAAAAAAGAUGGUACAUCACGUAUGUGUGUUGAUUGUAGAGGCAUUAAUAAUAUUUUUAUUCGUUAUCGUGAGCCUAUUCCUAGGCUAGAUGAUAUGCUUGAUGAAUUGAGUGGCUCUACAAUAUUCUCCAAAGUUGAUUUGCGUAGUGGCUACCAUCAAAUUCGUAUGAAAUUGGGAGAUGAAUGGAAAACAGCAUUUAAAACUAAGUUUGGAUUAUAUGAGUGGUUAGUCAUGCCUUUUGGGUUAACUAAUGCACCUAGUACUUUCAUGAGAUUAAUGAACGAAGUUUUACGUGCUUUCAUUGGACGAUUUGUGGUAGUUUACUUUGAUGACAUAUUGAUUUAUAGCAGAUCUUUGGAAGAACAUGUCAAAAAGCUUGACUUUUAAUAUGUUUCAAAGAUUCAUGAUCAGAAUGUAUAACAAAUUCUUUGGGCCUUAAAUAAUGUUGCCAUGUUUCUAAAGUCCGAACAAGAGCAUAUAAUUCUUUAUCAUAAGUAGAAUAAUUCAGACUAGGCCCACUCAAUUUUUCAGAAAAGUAUGCAACAGGUUUGCCAUCUAGUAAUAACACACCUCCUAAUCCAAUUCCACUAGCAUCACAUUCAAGCUCAAAAGUCUUAUUAAAAUCAGGAAGUUGGAGUAAAGGAGCAUGUGUCAACUUAUCUUUCAAUACCAUGAAGGCUUCUUCCUGUGCGGUACCCCAAAGAAAAGGCACAUCUUUCUUUGUAAGCUCAUUGAGAGGUGCAGCAAUGGUGCUGAAAUCUCUCACAAAACGCCUAUAGAAUCCAGCAAGGCCAAGAAAACUCCUCACUUGUGUGACCGUUUUGGGCUGCGGCCAACUCUCAAUAGCUUCAAUCUUGGCUUUAUCAACUUCAAUUCCCUGUGGAGUAACAACAUAGCCAAGAAAAGAUACUCGGUCGGUGCAAAAGGUGCACUUCCCAAGGUUACCAAACAAAUGUGCAUCACGUAGAGCAAUAAAAACAGCACGUAAAUUGAUAGAGGCAAAGGUGUCCCGUCUUUCGAUGAGAUGAUGGAUAUCGCUUUGGUGGAAGUCGACUUUGACGAUCCGACUACGAACGUGCGAGGACGUCGCGCCUUAGCAAUCGCUAAACCAACUCCGAGAGGUUAUUGACCACGCCGGAGCACGAUCAACCUGACCACGAGGGUCUGUUUCCUGCGAGCAAACGAAGAACAAGCAAGAAACUAAGAUUGCAAUCUGGAUAUUGCGAAUAUAAGAUGAAAGCUUUAUUGAUCAAGGUGGGGUUCUGUGACGCCUUUGUCUGGUCGUUGAACACAAACGAAGUACGCGAAGUUGCAGCUAUGGCGAACUUUUAAUCUAAACAAAACCCAAAGUCUAAACGAUGCCCUAAGGGCUGUUUAUAUGGAGGAAGAGGGGGGAAUUUCGUGGCCCUUGGUGGAGGGGUCCGAAAUCAACCCUAUCUCUUGUUUCCCCACACAUACGGACUCUAAAAAUAGCCUAUACUUAUGUAUUUCGAAAUUACAUGGGCCUGGCCCAAUAAUAAGGUGACGCAGCACCUAAAAUAGCCUCGGGACGAAAUUUAUGAAGUGGCAUCUUGUAUAUUUGGUCCAAGGCUUCAUGCACCCAUUAUGGUGGCUUCAAAGUCCUGAAAUCAUCACUUGUAACUCCGUUCUUGUUCCCCUUGCGCAUGCCAUCAUCUCCAUGCUUGUUCUUGCUCCAAUGUUCAUCCUUCUCCAAGCUAGGCCCUUCAUUUGUAAGCAAAACAAAUGUAUCCAAUUUAGGCAGCAUCAUAUUCUCAUGAACAUUAGAAUCAUUACCAAGAAACGAAAGUACCUGGUAAUUUAGUUGGCGUGCACGAGCUCUAGUAAUUGGUCCAGUAUGUAUAGCAGCAGGGGCUGUGGGUGUAACAAUUGUAUUGAUGUCCUCAUCAUCCUCCCCUUCUUGAAAUGAAGUCGUCCUCGACGGAAGUUCAUCUUCCUCACCCAAAUAAGGCUUCAAAUCUGCAAUGUUAAAAGUGGGACUAACCCCAAAAUCUACAGGCAGCUCAAGUUUAUAUGCAUUAUCAUUUAUUUUCUCUAACACCUUAAAGGGACCAUCAGCACGUGGCAUUAACUUUGAUUUGCGCAAAUCAGGAAAUCUAUCCUUACGCAAAUGUAACCAAACAAGAUCUCCAGGUGCAAAAACAACAUGUUUUCUACCCUUAUCUCCAGCAAGUUUAUAUUUAGCAUUCAUACGCUCAAUGUUUUCCUUAGUUAACUCAUGCAUUUUUAAAAUCAAUUCAGCAUGUUGUUUAGCAUCAAAAUUAACCUUCUCCGAAGAUGGAAGAGGCAACAAAUCAAUAGGUGCACGAGGUAGGAAACCAUACACAACUUCAAAAGGGCACAUCUUAGUAGUAGAAUGCAAUGAACAAUUAUAAGCAAAUUCAAUAUGAGGCAAGCAUUCCUCCCACAUUUUCUUAUUAUUCUUCAAAACAGCCCUAAGCAUAGUAGACAACGUUCUAUUGACUACUUCAGUUUGUCCAUCAGUUUGGGGGUGACAAGUAGUACUAAAAAGGAGUUUAGUCCCCAACUUAGCCCAUAAACAUCUCCAAAAGUGGCUAAGAAAUUUAGUAUCACGAUCUGAAACAAUAGUAUUUGGCACACCAUGCAAGCGAAUAAUUUCACGAAAGAACAAAUCAGCAACAUUAACAGCAUCAUCGCUUUUAUGACAUGGUAUAAAGUGUGCCAUUUUCGAGAAUCUAUCCACGACAACAAAUAUGCUAUCCCUCCCCUUCUUUGUUCGAGGUAAACCUAAAACAAAGUCCAUAGAUAUAUCCUCCCAAGGAACACUAGGUACAGGCAAAGGCAUAUAUAAACCAUGAGGAUUGAGUCGUGACUUAGCUUUUUGACAUGUAGUGCAUCGAGCAAUAAAAUGCUCAACAUCCUGUCUCAUCUUUGGCCAAAAGAAAUGUAUAGCAAGUACGUCCUCCGUCUUUUUCACGCCAAAGUGUCCCAUUAAUCAUCCUCCAUGCGCCUCCUGCAACAACAAAAGACAAACGGAGCUAGCUGGAAUGCAUAGCUUGUUAGCACGAAACACAAAUCCAUCGUUAAUGACAAACUUGUUCCACAUUCUACCUUCUUUACAAUUCUGCAUUACAUCUUUAAAAUCAGCAUCAUGCACAUAUUGAUCUUUGAUGGUCUCCAAACCAAAUAUUUUGAAGUCAAGUUGUGAAAGCAUAGUAUAGAGACGAGACAAUGCAUCAGCAAUAACAUUUUCUUUUCCCUUUUUGUGUUUAAUGACAUAAGGGAAAGUCUCAAUGAAUUCGACCCAUUUAGCAUGUCUACGAUUCAGUUUAGCUUGACUUUUAAUAUGUUUCAAAGAUUCAUGAUCAGAAUGUAUAACAAAUUCUUUGGGCCAUAAAUAAUGUUGCCAUGUUUCUAAAGUCCGAACAAGAGCCUAUAAUUCUUUAUCAUAAGUAGAAUAAUUCAGACUAGGCCCACUCAAUUUUUCAGAAAAGUAUGCAACAGGUUUGCCAUCUUGUAAUAACACACCUCCUAAUCCAAUUCCACUAGCAUCACAUUCAAGCUCAAAAGUCUUAUUAAAAUCAGGAAGUUGGAGUAAAGGAGCAUGUGUCAACUUAUCUUUCAAUACCGAGAAGGCUUCUACCUGUGCGGUACCCCAAAGAAAAGACACAUCUUUCUUUGUAAGCUCAUUGAGAGGUGCAGCAAUGGUGCUGAAAUCUCUCACAAAACACCUAUAGAAUCCAGCGAGGCCAAGAAAACUCCUCACUUGUGUGACCGUUUUGGGCUGCGGCCAACUCUCAAUAGCUUCAAUCUUGGCUUUAUCAACUUCAAUUCCCUGUGGAGUAACAACAUAGCCAAGAAAAAAUACUCGGUCGGUGCAAAAGGUGCACUUCCCAAGGUUACCAAACAAACGUGCAUCACGUAGAGCAAUAAAAACAGCACGUAAAUGUUCCAAAUGUUCUUCCAAAGAUCUGCUAUAAAUCAAUAUGUCAUCAAAGUAAACUACCACAAAUCGUCCAAUGAAAGCACGUAAAACUUCGUUCAUUAAUCUCAUGAAAGUACUAGGUGCAUUAGUUAACCCAAAAGGCAUGACUAACCACUCAUAUAAUCCAAACUUAGUUUUAAAUGCUGUUUUCCAUUCAUCUCCCAAUUUCAUACGAACUUGAUGGUAUCCACUACGCAAAUCAACUUUGGAGAAUAUUGUAGAGCCACUCAAUUCAUCAAGCAUAUCAUCUAGCCUAGGAAUAGGAUGACGAUAACGAAUAGUAAUAUUAUUAAUGCCUCUACAAUCAACACACAUACGUGAUGUACCAUCCUUUUUCGGCACUAGAAUAAUAGGAACGGCACAAGGACUAAGGAAUUCGCGUAUAUAACCUUUGUCGAGAAGUUCUUGUACUUGACGCAUAAUCUCCUUCGUCUCCUCUGGAUUGGUACGGUAUGGUGCACGGUUUGGCAGUGAAGCACCGGGAAUUAAGUCAAUCUGAUGCUCAAUCCCUCGAAUAGGCGGUAAUCCCGGUGGCACGUCUUCUGGAAAGACGUCAGCGAACUCCUGCAAAAUGUUAGUGACAGCAGGAGGCAAAGAGGAAGGCAUGUCCUCGAAUGAAAAUAAUGCCUCUUUGCACACAAAAGCAUAGUAAACAGAUUUGCUGAAAUCUAGCUCAUCAAUAUCAGAUUUGGUGGCAAAUAAACAUGCACUUUUCAAUUUAAUUUUAGAAGCAACACUAGAUGGUUUAUUAUUAGGCUUCAUUUGUUGCUCAAAUUCUUUUGCCACAAUCUGAUUUUCACUCUUAUUCUUCUCCUGUUUUGCUUUAUUAGCUCUAUUAAUAUCAUCUUUCAAAAUGGAAUCAGGAGUCAUAGGAAGCAAAGUAAUAUUUUUAUCCUUAUGAACAAGAGUAUAGUGAUUGUUUAUACCAUGGUGUACAGAAUUUUUAUCAAAUUGCCAUGGUCUACCAAGUAAUAAGGAACAUGCUUGCAUAGGUACCACAUCACAAUCAACAUAAUCAGCAUAUGUAGAGAUACUAAAAUGCACACGAACAGUACACGUUACCUUAACCUUGCCGCUAUUGUUGAACCAUUGGAUGUAGUAAGGAUGUGGAUGUGGUCUUGUGGUGAGAGAAAGCUUCUCCACCAUCUCCAUGCUAGCCAAGUUGUUGCAGCUCCCUCCGUCUAUGAUGACGCGCAUAGAACGUUCCUUCACAACUCCCUUGGUAUGGAACAAAUUGUGCCUCUGAUUUUGCUCAGCUUGUGUGACCUGCACACUCAAAACACGUUGAGCAACUAUACAUUCAUACCUGUCAGCGUCUUCAGGAGCCAUGUAUUGCGUCUCAUGAUCAGAAUCAUCUCCACCAUGUUCUUCACGUGUAAUAAGAGCCAAAGUCUCCUCAUCAUAGUCACUAACGGACUCAUAUCCACCAUCCGCGGUAGGAAUCAUCACACGCGGAGAUUUGCAUUCUCUCGCAUAAUGACCUCCUCCCUUACAACGACGACAAAUAAUAUCACUUUUAUGCCCUGUUGAUGCUAUGGAAGAAGAAGAACGCUGUGCAGGCCCCGCAGGUGCGCUCUCGGCAGAUACUGGUGGUUGUGCCUGUUUUCUUGUAUCACGGCUGGAGGUGGCACCUGAUGGAGGUGCUGGUGCAGUUGAAGUAGAAGAUGCACGUGGUGUCCAUGAUGAAGGUCGGCCUGCAGAAAAGUUAGUUCGCGCCAAUGCUUGUCGAUCCUGCACUUCACGUUCAGCUUUACAAGCAAGAUGGAAUAAACGAGUGAUAUUAGUAUACUCCUUAUAGUCUAGAAUGGUCUGAAUCUCUCUAUUUAAUCCACCCAGAAAACUUGCAAGCAUAGCUUCAUUCUCCUCAACAAUACCACAUCUAAUCAUGCCAGUUUGUAAUUCCUGAUAAUAUUCUUCUACAGAAUUUUUUCCUUGUCUUAAGCGCUGUAAUUUUUGAAGCAAUUCACGUUGAUAAUAUGGUGGAACCCAACAAGUACGCAUAGCAGUUUUCAAAGCAACCCAAGUAGUUGGAAUAGGAUAUAAUAUACAAUGUUCAGACCACCAUACACAUGCAAAACUAGUGAAAGCACAAACAGCAGCGGCAACCCGUCUCUCCUCGGGAUAUUGUAAACAUGUAAAUCGUUGUUCAGUUUCUAACUCCCAAGUAAGAUAUAUAUCAGGAACAUAUCUACCCUCGAAAGGUGGAAUGUUCAAUUUCAGUUUAGGAAGAUGGUCAUGAUCUCGUACCUGAGGGAAAGCCCUACCAUUGUGAUUAUUUGCAUGUGGAUGACCUGGUGGUUGUGGUGCAGGUGGUUGCACAUAGUUCUGAUUUUGAGCAACCUCAUCCUCGUAAUCUCCCACAUAAUCAUCCUCCUCCGCAUCAGCAGCAGGAGCCACAGAAGUAUCAAGAGUAGCACCAACAGUUUGGCCAAACGCAAGAGGAACACGGCUCGCUCGGCGGAGGUCUGUUUUGCGACGUGGAGGUAGUCGUUGUUGUUGUUGUUGGAGAGGUGUGUUAGGUGCAGCGGGUGGUGGUGGUGGAAGACGCGCGAGCAAUUCAUUAAACUUGUUAUCGAGCUUUGUUUCGAACGUCUUCUCCAUGCCAUCUAUCUUCUCCAUGGCCUCUUCAAAUCUGUUUAGCACAUCUUGCACCUGUCCACUCAUCAUUUGCUGAAAUUUAUCAUGCAAAUCCUUAUUCGUCAUGUUCUCCCAGUCAGUCUCGUCGGCUUGUGAUCCUGGCAUGGUUAGCAGCAAUAGAAACACACAAUAAUAUGAUCCUACAGACUACUAACAAGAGGUGGUGGUGGGUGUGACAAAUCCGUCAAGCAAAUCUCAAAUUCUUACCAGUUCUUACCCAGCAGCAGGCGGUGAUCGGCAACCGUUGUAGUCAAAAACUCUCAAAGCUUGGAUAGAGCGAUUACCAGGGAGAGUCAACCGCACGACGUAGAUGUAUGUGGAGCUGGGAAGGCUUAUAAUAUGGUAGCAAAAGGGGUCAGCAAUAAUCAAUUCAGAGAUGCAAAGUUGAAUAAACGCUCAACGACGGUACUGUGCUGGUCCUAGGCUAGACUGUGCUAGAGACGCGAGCCUAGAACACCAACAAAAUCACGGCGCGGCACGUAAACAAGGGAAAAGCACACUCUGGAAUUUUUUGUUUCGCUUUUUUUUUUCUUUUGCGCUGCUUUUUUUUUUGCGAAAAAUCACUAUAAUGGCGAGUGUCUCAAAACUCUUCCUAGCUCAAAUUGACAGGAUGGGCACGAAAUUUUUUCGACCAAUUUUUUUUUCGACUGCCCGGACCCAAAAACUGGAAACGGGUCAAAAAAACUUCCUAUAAUGGCACCUGUCUCAAAACACUCAGAAACACCUAAAAAUAGGAUAGCCAAAUUUUUUUUCGAAAAAUGCGUUGUCGAAAAUUUUUGGGCCUAAACGGAGCGUGGUUUCCGGACUCGUUUUUUUUUUCGAUACCUACUCCGGCAAGGAAACACGAAUCGGAAUCUAGAUGGAUCUCGAAAACAAACCUAAUAUGACAAGAACUGGGAUUGGUGGUGGAUAUAUGUUGGUAGAUGGCAGCGGUGGUGGUAUAUGGAUACGGAUUCGAAGCGGUGGCGGAUAAGCGGUGGUGGUAGAUGGCAGGGGCGAUGAUGAUGGUGCGGCGGCGGCGUGACAACUUAUGACCAGAACUCGAAACUCUAAAAGACUAGACUCUAAGACCAGCAACUAGACACGACGAUGCAACCGCAAAUUCAACAUAGCAAAACCCUAAAAAGAUUAUGCAAAGGCUCAGAUUGGUUCGGAUAUGAUGAACUAACCCUAAUUUUUUUUGUGGCUUUUUCGUGGACUAUAGGUAUGAAGAACAGACUCGAUCUAAACUACGAAAAACUGUAAAAUCUCACCGAACAACCUGGAAAUCUGAUACCACUUGAUAGAGGCAAAGGUGUCCCGUCUUUCGAUGAGAUGAUGGAUAUCGCUUUGGUGGAAGUCGACUUUGACGAUCCGACUACGAACGUGCGAGGACGUCGCGCCUUAGCAAUCGCUAAACCAACUCCGAGAGGUUAUUGACCACGCCGGAGCACGAUCAACCUGACCACGAGGGUCUGUUUCCUGCGAGCAAACGAAGAACAAGCAAGAAACUAAGAUUGCAAUCUGGAUAUUGCGAAUAUAAGAUGAAAGCUUUAUUGAUCAAGGUGGGGUUCUGUGACGCCUUUGUCUGGUCGUUGAACACAAACGAAGUACGCCAAGUUGCAGCUAUGGCAAACUUUAAUCUAAACAAAACCCAAAGUCUAAACGGUGCCCUAAGGGCUGUAUAUAUGGAGGAAGAGAGGGGGAAUUUCGUGGCCCUUGGUGGAGGGGUCCGAAACCAACCCUAUCUCUGGUUUCCCCACACAUACGGACUCUAAAAAUAGCCUAUACUUAUGUAUUUCGAAAUUACAUGGGCCUGGCCCAAUAAAAAGGUGACGCAGCACCUAUAAUAGCCUCGGGACGAAAUUUAUGAAGUGGCAUCUUGUAUAUUUCGUCCAAGGCUUCAUGCACCCAUUAUGGUGGCUUCAAAGUCCUAAAAUCAUCACUUGUAACUCCGUUCUUGUUCCCCUUGCGCAUAGCAUCAUCUCCAUGCUUGUUCUUGCUCCAACGUUCAUCCUUCUCCAAGCUAGGCCCUUCAUUUGUAAGCAAAACAAAUGUAUCCAAUUUAGGCAGCAUCAUAUUCUCAUGAACAUUAGAAUCAUUACCAAGAAACGAAAGUACCUGAUAAUUUAAUUGGCGUGCGCGAGCUCUAGUAAUUGGUCCCGUAUAUGUAGCAGUAGGGGCUAUGGGUGUAACAAUGGUAUUGAUGUCCUCAUCAAUAUUGAACUUGCUUCGGCAACUAUUUACAUGCGGCUCGUCGCUAGCUUUUUUUUGAGUACUCGUGGAGCCAAAACGGACUUCGUAUGAGGAAGUUAUGCCUGUUUUACUGAACAGUGCACAAAAUAGAUUCCAAUCCGAAUUCAACUACGAGAUUGAGUCUAGAUAGAUACGAAUUUUGUUUUUUUUAUUCUCUUUUUUUCCUCACAUUUUUUCUUUUUCUUUUUCUUUUUUUCUCUGACUUUUUUUCUGUUGUUUUUUCUCUUUUUUUCUCUCCCACUUUCCAAAACAAACUAGAUAAGAUGCAUAUUGGAUCAAGCGAAGAUGUGAACGAUCUCAACUAUUAUUAUGACAAUGAACGGUGGGUAGCACGUGGUGGAAAUUGAUGGAUGGGUGGUGGACAACGAAAGGGAUAACGAUGCAGCGGCGGCGUGACUAAUGUGAACAGAACUCGAAACUCUAAACGAACUAGACACUAAGACUAGCAACUCGACACGACGUUGCAACCGAUAUUCAACUAUGCAAGCAAUGAAAAGAAAAUUGCAAAGGCUCAGAGUGGCUUGGACAAAGGAUGAAUAGAUCUAACUUUUUUUGUGGAUUUUUCUUGGACAAUAGGUAAGAAAAUAAAUCUAAUCUAGGAAAAACAGGAAAUUCUCACCGAGCAACCUGAAAACUGAUACCACUUGAUAGAGGCGAAGGUGUCCCGAUGUUUCGAUGAGAUAGAUAUCGUUUUCUGUGGGAGUCGACUUUGACGAUCCGACUACGAACGUGCGAGGACGUCGCACCUUAGCAAUCGCUAAACCAACUUCAGAGGGUUAUUAAUCACGCCGUAGCACGAUCAACCUGACCACGAGGGUCUAUUUCUUGCGAGCAAACAAAGAACAAGCAAGAAACUGACAUUGCAAUCUGGAUAUUGCGAAUUAAAGAGGAAAGCUUUAUUAAUGAAGGUGGGGUUCGGUGACGUCUUGGUCUGGUCGUUGGAUACAAAGGAAGUACGCGAAGUUGCAGCUAUGGCGAACUUUUAAUCUAAACAAAACCCAAGGAAAAAGCUACUAGAUGGAUCUACUUAUAUAGGAGCAAGGGGUGGCGGCCAAGGAGGUGGAAGGAUGUCCCAAGGCAGCCUAAAACUAACCCUAGGUCGUACAAGGCUCAUGGGCCCAAGUGGAGGUGGUGCAACACCUUUAGACUUAUUGUUUGACUCGGAUUGUACAAAUGUCCCAUACACCUGCAAUUGGACAAAACACAAAAGUGUGUGAAGUAUUUUUGUUCUGGAUAACAUAAAUAGAUUAUUGAAUAGUUUGCACUUGAAAUCAGCUGACAAAUAUGCAUGUAUGAAAUAUUUUUGGUCGUCUCCAAGGUAGUCAUGUCCUCAUCAACGUUAAGAUUUAUUUUUGCACUAAAAUCUUAUACACUAGUUGAACUGAAGACUAUUUUCAAUGCAUUGUGAGUUGUUGCUCAAAAGUGAGACUGAUUUUAUUUUCAUCUACCCCAACCUAAGUUAGGACUUUAUAGUUUUUGUACCCUCUUUUUAGCGUACUUAUGGUUUAGUGUUGUGGGUACUGAAUUGUAAUUUCAUACAGUGUUAGGUUUUGAAAAUUGGUGUCAUAGUGGUAUGUGGAUGUAGUGUGAGUGGCCUGACCCUUCCUGGUUUUGUAGUACUGUUAUGAGAUAUAUGUUUGAAAUAAAGGUUUUUUGGGAUUGAGAUUAUUUACGACGAAAUUGUUAGUUGACCUGUAGCCAGAUUUUAUGUAAAUAAAAAAUUUAGCAAAUUUGACAAAAAAAAUAUUUCUUUGAACUUCUUGCAUUUUAGUAGUUGAACUUGAAAGUAAAAUUUAAUUACCUGAUUUAAAUUAUGUACAUUUAACAGAUAGCCUAUUUAAGUUCUCCGCUUUUAAAGUAUCAUUGUUUUUGUAUCAUUAUUUUUUUCCUUUUUUAUCCGUGGUGUGGAGCUAAAUUUAUUUUAUUUUAUAUUUUUGAAUUUAAAAUUAUUGCCCACGAAUAACUAUUUGAACUUUUCUAUAUUCAGUUUUUGAACUUUUUUGUUGUAGUUUAUAAAUUUUUGCCCCACGCUCUGCUGUAUUCAAUGGGCCUUAUGAGUGGGGUGAGGACAGUUUGGAGACGAGGGAGGCUUCCAAGGAGCAGUCGUAUUGGGUGCUUUUCUGGCCCAAAUGGCCCCCGCGCGCGACUAUGGACUGCUGGUUGCGCGUGCGCUCUGAGUUUAGUCCCACCUCGCUAGCCGAGGGGGCUCUCAACCGGUUUAUAAGCAUUGCCAUGGCUCAUGUGUCGAACUCCUCUUAAUACUUACCUGGCAGCUUAUACACGGCGCUCGCUCUCUGUUCCAUGACCUGUGGGCCAUGGUCUGCUGACCUUGCUUUGUGUCGAUUACUAGGGAUUCGUCAACGGUUCCGCCGUGGGCUCGAGUUCAAGUGUCCACCUGCGUUAGGGCCUGCCUGUCCUCGGGCACUCAAUAUUUUUGGUUUGAAUCUAGUACUUGACUGCACUAGUAAUGCGGACUGUGAUUUGAAUCUAGUACUUGACUGCACCAGUAAUGCAGACUGAUACUUUUGUUGUAGUUCUUGUGAGUUUUCUUGGGUUUAUGUAAGAAUUAUUUUAUUAUUACUGAUUGUUCUCCUUGGCUUGAACUAUUAUGUUUUCGUUGAGUUUUUGCAUUCUUUUUUUUGUUUUUUGUCGUGAUUAUUCUCAAGGGUUUUCUGGUAUUAUUUAGUAAUAUAGUACUUGCAUGGGAAUUAAGUUCUACUGAGAGUUCAAUUGUACUAGCACUUCUGUUCUUAGUCUGACAGUUAUUAAGGGAAUGUGAACUGGUGCUUCUUUGUCCUUUUUAUAGUAGUAAAGAUGUACUGCGCAUUCAAGUGUACUAGUACUGUCAUUCUUAGUCUUCCAAUGUCCAAUAAAAUGUGUACUGAUGCUUUUUAACUUUUUUCUUUCACUACUUGCUAAUUUUCUAGCAACUACAAGGAUGAUCUUGUUAGUACUGAAUGUUGUCCUCGCCUGUCCCUUAGUCUUUUUAGUGUGAUGGAACCUUUUUUGUUGUGAUUAUUUUUUAGUGUUCUUAUGAAACUAUUUAGUAUGAUAGUACUACUAUACAAGACUAAGCUGUAUCAAGCGUCCAAGGGGAGUAUUGUUCUUGUUCGUAGUAUGUCGGUGUUUGUGAAAUAUCUGCUGCCAGUACAACACUAUGUUAGUGAUGUCAUUGUUCACAGUUGCAGGAUGGGAGUGGUGUUGGGGCUUGUUUUGUUCAUAUAGACUCGGAUCAUAUGGACGAAGUACUAAGAUUUUUUGUUUCAACUUUGGAAGCGUUGUUAAAUAGCUCAAAUUGUACUGAUUGUUUUCAACAUUUUCUUUUCCAUACAAUGUUGAAUCCGAACUACACGUGGAACAUCCUUGUGUGAUUAGUUCCUCGAUAACUAGUACUGAAGAGUAGCCACAGAGUUCCAUUCACAAGCUACUUGAAUUUAAAAUGAUGGAUAAACAAAAUGGGAAGCUAGCAAACUUAUUUAACGAUAUAAUCAAAGGAUGUACUUGAUGACAUAAGCAAACUGGUUCAACCCUGACAAACACGACAUAAGCAAACUGGUUCAACCCUGACACACAUGACUUCAGCAAGCUGGUUUAACGUAACAAAAGCAAACUACGAAUUUGGAACAACAAGAUAAAGGACAAGCGCAAGCAACACGAAGGCAGCCUUUGAUGUCUCUUCAUCCCGCAUAGUGGCAGUGGUAGUACGGGUCCGCUUCCUGCUCUUUUGAAAUUUCAGGACCUAUUUUGAUGUUGUCGAUUUUCUUCCAUGGCUCAUAGGUGGCGUACACAUCUAUUGUUGUGUACUCUAUGAGGUAAUUUGGUAGUGGGUUCAUCCCCCACAAUGUAUGGUCUUCCUUCAUAUUGAUCUUCUUCUUCUACCAUACUCUUUUCUGGUGUAUGGAACUCUCCAGUUGCGCCGAAUGUCGAUGUACUUGUUGGGAUUUAUCUCCAAACCAGACAUCUUUAGCUUCUCUCUGUCACCUUGAAUGCUGAAACCGGCAAAGGUGAACAACUUCUCAUGCUUCAACAUGUCGUAGAGGUGCUUGGGCAUGCAAGGGGAGAGACAUAUUAAAUAUUAGUAUUAUUUUGAUGUUUGAAUUCUUCCGGUUUUUGGUUUACAAGUGAUGAAUCCAUGAAGUAGAUGCUUAUAUAGUAUAAUUAAUGGAUGAAUGUAGUCCAGAAACUAGUACACAAAUUUCAGAAAUUAAAUUCACGUACAAGAUGUUAUUUUUCUUUUUGGAAUAUACAGUUGAGUCAAUGAUAUAUGUGCUGCUUUAGUACUAGUUUAGUUUACUUUUGUUGAAUAGAAAAACAUAUAUCAGUGCUUCACCAAGUUCUUUGUUCUUUUGUUGAUGAAAAUAAUACCAUACCAAGUUUAGAAACUACUUCACUACAUCAAGUUCAGAAACAUCUUUUAAUACAUCGAGUGCAGAAACUACACUAGUGAAUCAAGAUCAGAAAGUACACUAGUACAUCAAGUUCAGAAAUUAAUCUACUGCAAGAUUUUCAAAUAGUAAUCCAGUGCAUCAGGUUCAAAAUAUAUUCUAGUGCAUCUACUCGAGAAACUGUACUAGUGCAUACACUUCCACAAACUACACUAGUACAUCUAGCUGGGAAACAAGUUUAAUGAGAUUUUGAUGAUACAGUACUAAUUAAACAGAUGAACAAAAGAGGGCAAAUGAGUAGGAUGGUUCACCAUUUUGUGGCCACGGUGAUGUGGUACACCAGACAGAGUUCCUCCAUCCGUAACUGCAGAACUACUGCUCUCUGCGGAGGUUCAUCUUGCCUGGUAUACUCCACAUCAACGCCGAUGAAUCUAGGAUACAAGCUGCCAGCCCUUUUCCAGAGUCUACAGAUCAUCUCGUCGGCCUUGUCUGGUUCGCUAGUGCAGACGACCUCAAGUGUCUCAUUGCCGUGGAGGUCCACCUUCUCGAGUAUGGUGGUGUAGUCGAGCUUCUCGGCGGGGACGUGAACGUCGUCAAGGUUGUUGCUCUAGUUGGACAUCUCGCCACACUGACGCUUGGCAGACAGUUCCUUCGCCAGUGCCCUCCUCCAGCAACUCUGGGCUUGAAAGAGAGAUGUUUGUGGGGAGUUUGUAGUGGAGAUGGAAGCGGCAAUGGUGGUUCUCGGAAUGAGGCAGAGAUGGAAGACAAUGGGGUAUUUUCAGGGCAUGGAUGGGGACGUGGGGGAGGUGGUUCUUCACAGACAUGGGGGUAGUGGUCGUGGGGUCCCCGUUGUUGUCCAUCGUGGCAACCGCCAAGUUUGUGGCGUGGUAGGGUGGCCUGGAAGAACCAGCUUUCCAAACAUAAUUAUCUGCAUGGGCUUUUACUCUCGCAUUGAUUUGUCUUGUGAAGGUGAAAUUAUUAGUUUCUUGUCCCACUUGCAUGCCUCAGAGUCGGUGAUAAUGGCGCUUGUACUGCUCGACUAUCGAGUACUUGGACUGGUAAUUGACGUGUGGUUGAACUUAUCAAUACAAGUUCAGACUAUGUGUGUGAUGCUAAUUUUUUAAAACAUUUGUUUUUUGAAAUGAUUGUUUAUAUCAACAUAAUUUUUGAAAGUAUUUUAUACAGAUAAAUUAGUUUUUCAUCAGUACAGGUGUAUUAUAUUUGUACUUUCAGUUUUUGUUUGCUUGAGGUAAUUCAUUUAUGUACUGAUGGGCUUUCUGAACUGGGACCUGUAGAAGUUGUCAUAGGUUGUUGAAUGAUGUUUUUGGAGGUGUUCACAGGUGUGUUUGGUUAGUCUACCUUGAACUGAUGUGCCAGACUUAUUAGUACUGAUGUACUAUCAGAGUUUAAAUUCUUUUUAACAAAAUUUUGCUGAGUUACUGGUUAACAAUAGUGUUGAUGUUACAUAAAUCGAGAUCAAAUUUUCAAAUAUAUUUGUGAGUUCAUUCAGAAGGAUUAUCAAAUGGUUUACAUAAUAAUGUCACUGGUCCAGCGGGCAGAAAUCAAAAAUGAUAUUUAACUAUAGUACUAAUCUAGAAAUCGAUGAUAAAGCUAAAUAAGUUUUGGUAACGACAGUGUUUCUGAUACAUUCUUCAUUAUGUACCAAGGCAACCGAGAGUAAAAACUUAUUUUUGAAUUGACGCAGUAGCGCAACCACUAUGGAUUCUUCAGUCAUGAUGAUAGAGGCAAAGGUGUCCCGUCUUUCGAUGAGAUGAUGGAUAUCGCUUUGGUGGAAGUCGACUUUGACGAUCCGACUACGAACGUGCGAGGACGUCGCGCCUUAGCAAUCGCUAAACCAACUCCGAGAGGUUAUUGACCACGCCGGAGCACAAUCAACCUGACCACGA
This 29277-nucleotide long non-coding RNA is filed under the name Triticum aestivum (bread wheat). RNAcentral's name for it is "long non-coding RNA (TAES_LNC018884)". Lineage: Eukaryota; Viridiplantae; Streptophyta; Magnoliopsida; Poales; Poaceae. The record is from RNAcentral.